Triticum urartu is the source of this 674-nucleotide long non-coding RNA. RefSeq lists it as uncharacterized. The record is from RefSeq and is a predicted model, not a curated record. NCBI's taxonomy places the organism in Eukaryota, Viridiplantae, Streptophyta, Magnoliopsida, Poales, Poaceae.
UAGAUCUCGAAUCCGAGCCCAUUUCAAGCAGAUCUGAAGCAGAAAAUCCCACUUGGCCCGUUUUCUCUCUUCCCCGACUUCUUUUCGUUACCUCGCAGGCCCGCACCCACUCGCCGUCGCAGCGGCAGCCCCCACGUCUCCCGCCCCACCCCCCUAAAAAUGACCUCGACCGCAGCGGCGGCGGCGGCAGCGGCGACAGGCUAUGCGUCCGAAGCUCCGUCCGGCCUGCGUUUACCGGCGAGCUGGCCCGCUCGUGUGCUGCCCUCGUCGAGAAAUUGAGGGAUCGUGAUGGAGCCCAAAGGCAGUCAUUCUAAAAUCUAGAGAGGACACUAUCAGCGUCAGGCAAUGACUGAGACAUUUCUGGUCUGGUAUUACAAGUUACAACUCAUAAUGCUUACGUCCUUGAGAUCAAUAAUCACCUUCAGGAGGAACCCUAGAGUGUUUCUGCAAAUUCAGGAAAUAGCCGUAGCAGAAAAUCAGCUGGAGUCCGGCCAAGAAGUAGGCGAGCGGCUCCAUGAUACUCCAAGAGAACUCCCAGAACGUAAGGUGGAAGAAGAGGGCAAACUGGAGUAUGAAUGAUGCGAAGCCAAAACAUAGAAUCCGCACGGCGUGCCUGUGCGCCAUGCCGUUGAUCUCUUGCAUCCUCGUCUGAAGUUGUCUGAAUUCGUCUUUUC